GAUGAAGAACGUAGCGAAAUGCGAUAAGUAGUGUGAAUUGCAGAAUUCAGUGAAUCAUCGAAUCUUUGAACGCACAUUGCGCCUUCUAGUAUUCUGGGAGGCAUGCCUGUUUGAGCGUCAUUAAACCUCUCUCAAGUAUGAUUACUUGGAUGUGAAGGAAGAGUACCUUAAACUUAAGGAGUGUUCUCCUUUGAAAUUGAUUAGCAGAUGGUAAUGUUAUUAAAUCCCUGAUGUUGUAAGAAAUAACAGUGGUUUUGUAGACUAUUAUCUAGCUUUAAAUUAUAAUUUUUAUUAUGGUUGACCUCAAAUCAGGUAAGGAUACCCGUUGAACUUAAGCAUAUCAAUAAGCGGAGGA
This 355-nucleotide unclassified non-coding RNA is filed under the name soil metagenome. Its description in RNAcentral is "partial contains 5.8S ribosomal RNA, internal transcribed spacer 2, and large subunit ribosomal RNA". The stretch from base 1 to 120 matches the Rfam family "5.8S ribosomal RNA", at positions 35 to 154 of the family's 154-position model. The record is from RNAcentral.